This 121-nucleotide non-coding RNA is filed under the name Olsenella sp. oral taxon 809 str. F0356. RNAcentral's name for it is "SAM riboswitch aptamer (S box leader)". It matches the Rfam family "SAM riboswitch aptamer (S box leader)". Rfam says of the family: The SAM riboswitch is found upstream of a number of genes which code for proteins involved in methionine or cysteine biosynthesis in Gram-positive bacteria. The SAM riboswitch acts at the level of transcription termination control. The record is from Rfam by way of RNAcentral. RNAcentral also lists the same sequence under 1 other name. Lineage: Bacteria; Bacillati; Actinomycetota; Coriobacteriia; Coriobacteriales; Atopobiaceae.
CGCUCGUCAAGAGGCGCCGCGAGGCGCAAAGAGCUGAGGGACCGAGCCCCAUGAAGCUCCGGCAACCAGCCUCAGGGCAUGGUGCCAAAUCUCGGCAGGCCAAGGGCCUGGAAGACGGGGG